AACAGCUAGAUACUCACCAGCUUAUUUGUUAUUUUAAAAUCUCCAGCCCAAAGAUUGGCCCAAUAUAAUCUUAAAAUAAUCAGCAGCUCUCCCCCCAUUUUAAGAUUUGAUACAACCCACUUCUCCACCGACCCGGUCCACCAAGGGUUUCUUUCCCCUUUAAUCAGCAACAACAGUCAAUUCCCUAAGGUACAACAGCCAAAUAUUCAACGUACAACCAAACACAACAUCGACCAACUUCAAACCCAUCGAUGCUGACCCGAAUUCGGUUCGAACCAACCCAGAUUCAACCCGAACCUAUCCUUCUUCAUGCGUUCCACGCAAUAGUACGAUGAGGAAAACCUUGAAGCUUCUAGAAAUGGUGAGGUGUAUUCCCCCAACGGAUCAAUCCCAUAAAUCUCGGGAUAAGGGUACAAUUUCGUACCCAUUUGGGGAAUUUCGAUUGGUUCUUGGGGGGAAUUGAUUUUGGAAGAAUUCUAUUGGUUCACCAAUUUUGUCUUUUUCUUGAGAGAGAAAUUCGAAAGGGAGAGUCAGCUAGAAGGGGGUUAGCUCUUUUUUUUGAAUUUUGAUUUUCCCAUCCCUAAACUACCCCCGAUUUGGUAUUCUAUAUAAGAACCAGCUGGGUAUUAUUUUCGGGGGUCUUUUUUUUUUUUAGAGAAUUAGGGUUCAGAAAAUUGGGGGUUGGGAAAAAAUUUUCGAGAGAGCUAGGUUGGGAAAAUUUUGGUUAGAAAAUUUUGAGUGGAAAAGGCAAAGGAUCCUAGAGCUAAAAGAUUUCCUUCAUAGCAAAGUUUUCUCCUUUCUUUUCCUUUUGGAAGUUAAUCAAUCAAUUCGGAAGUUCUCAAGUCAAUAAUAUCAGUUCCCAAUGGUGACGGUCCUAGCGAUUAACUCGUUGUCUUGUUUUGCUGCUCUCGAAAAGGUGCCUCACUGGCCUUAGGUUUUGCCUAUGAUAAGUGAUCUUUGAGUUGUUUAUCGAUUCAACAUUCACCGGAGGCUGCCUUAAGGAUCAGUACCUUGUGCGCUUAAAUCUGGUAUGUAUACUGUUUUAUAGGUGUUCAUCUAAUAUGGUCGUUGUUUCCGGAAUGGUUAGAUUCAAGAAUAUGUGUUUAGCUAGUUUGCAGGUUGGCUGGGCCUUGAUUAAAUUUUGAACGAUUUUGAUAUUCACGUUUGGUGUAUCUUCCAUCUUCCUGCUUAGUAAACAAAAAAAAUCUGGUGUCUUUCUCAUAUUUAAUGCUGGCAUGUGCUAGUUUAAACCCGUUUUGAUGCGUCCUUUACAUCUGUGUGUUCAUUAUGCUCGAAACUUCUAAAGUGACUUCAUAACUCUCUUUAGGUUUCUGUGAUUGAGCCUAACAGUAGCUAGGAUAAUAAUUUAGUUAUGCCGAUAUGAAAAUUUUGGACUUUGUUAGUUUAUCUUAGCAAGCUUCCUUUCUUUUUGAGAAAUGAUUUUAAUUCUUUAUAAUGUUUUGAGGCAUUGAAAGGAUUGUUUCUUUGUAAAAGACUUAAACUUUAGUGCAAUUUUCGUGUGAAUCUGUAAGUUGUUAAUGGGAAGUUCUUGCUUGUUCCUUUGUUGGAUGCCCGUUUGUCUAUACCUUCGCUUCGGUCUUUCCAAACAAGGUAAAAAUCUCGCUCAUGUCCUUUGAUUCAUAUUAUCAAUGGGAGUGGUGGGGUUAGCUCACAAAUGAUGUGCUUUAGCCUAAAUGAGUGUCAAAAGAUAAGACUUUUGUUUAAGUUUAGUGAUUUGAUUGCUUAAACGAUCCCGUCCUUCGAGUUUUAGUUCGACCGACGAAGAAUUAGUAGAAUUUUGGAGUCAUAAUAAAGCCAUCGAAUUUAGCCUAACUUCUUAAUGUUUUCAUUCUUUGUUUAUAUAAGAUUGGAUCACAUUGCUAGUUAUUUGGUCGAAUCAUUGUUGUCCUCUCCUGCGACUGAGUGUCUUCGAUUCAUUAUAGAUGGAUAUAUAUAUAUAUAUAUAUGUAUAUAAAUGUUAUGAACAACUGUUCGCAAGUGUUUGUAUAUAUUCCUUUUCUCUUUGCAAAUUAUAGUAAUCUAUGUAUGAUUAAUUAUCAAGUUAGAUAGCACAACCUUAUAUUGGGUUCAAUGGUUUAUGUUCUUUUUGCGCGUCCAGCUUGGUGUAGUAGAUUAAGACGCAUUUAGUAUUGGUGCAAUGGGCUAUGCAUGUUUGGUAUUUAAAUAGAGUACGGAUUAAUAGUUUAUUAAAAUCCUGUGCAUAUGCUAAUUUUCUCAUUUUUAUUUGCAUGCACCUGCUCCAGAGUCCAAAUGGGCUCUUUCCCCUUCUGCAUUUCACAAAUGGGCCAUUGAGGCCCAUUUCCUUUUAGAAAACCUUGGAAAGGACUAAAAAGACAGUCACAUGGUACACAGAUGCGAAGAGUCGAAUGAAGAAGGAAAAUGGGUUAAAAUCCCAUUUGAAGCGGCCAAGAGACUUGAAAGUCUCAUUUCCAUUUCAUUUAUUUAUUUAGUCAUUUAUUAUUGUUGUCUUUAUUUAUUUAGUUAUUUAUUUUUAUUCAUUCAUUUGGGCCACGAAUCCAAGGUUGUAUUUAAUACGGGUGGAGCGAGACUCAAGCUAACGACUCGAAAAACUAGACUGGGAUGGGUGAAAUGGGUCGAAAGCCCAAUUAGACUAGGACAGGUUUUGUUGGUUUGGGCCGAUGGCCUAAAUCCCUUACUUCCUCCCCGUCCCCCUAUUCUUUAUGUUUGUUUUCCUUAUGUGCUUUGCGAACCUAGUUAAAUCCUUAGUUAAGUCACUAAAAAACUAGUUUUGCAUAAACACAAAAAUAUUUCCAAAAUCGCUUUCUUUUCAAAAAAAUCAAUCAUUUUUCGACAAAAUUAAUCUUUUCAAAGUUAAUCAAAAGACGAUUUUCAAACAGUCCGGAUAACCGCAAGUUAGCGGACGUUUUACGUGCUUAACACCUUCGUAAAAUGUUAGUAGGAGCCACUUACUUAGAAUCUCUAAACUUAAAUGAUUUUCCUGUUUUGAAUCGUUUGAAGUAACUUUAUAAAGGUUUCUUAAUUCCUUUUCAGAAUUAAGUGGCAACUCUUGAUAAGUCAAAAUUUUCGCAAAACAGAAAUGGCGACUCUGCUGGGGAAUCAAUCAUUUGGUUAGAACCUACAUCAUUUAAACUGUUUUGGGGUUUCGUGGGUAUCCCGACACCUAUUGAUCAAUUCCAAAAGUGUGUUGGAAAUACAAACAGUUUAUUAGCACGUAAGUCGUCUGAUGGUUUGUAUUUUCAAACUCAAGUUGUCCGCUUGAGAAUCAGUGUUCAAACCCACUCUAUAUAUCUAGGAUAGAGCGAAACCAAAAUCCUAUUUCAGGCAUGAGCCUAGGACGACCCAAUACCCGAGCGGGGU
This is a long non-coding RNA of Capsicum annuum, 3360 nucleotides long. RefSeq lists it as uncharacterized. NCBI's taxonomy places the organism in Eukaryota, Viridiplantae, Streptophyta, Magnoliopsida, Solanales, Solanaceae. The transcript has 2 exons. The record is from RefSeq and is a predicted model, not a curated record.